AAUGCCGGAUGCUCCGACUCCUCGCAUGGGGUGUCGGGAAAGAUUUCAUCGGUAUGGGAUGGGGUCGCGUCCUAUCAGGUAGUCGGCGGGGUAACGGCCCACCGAGCCUACGACGGGUAGCCGGCCUGAGAGGGCGACCGGCCACAUUGGGACUGAGAUACGGCCCAGACUCCUACGGGAGGCAGCAGUGGGGAAUAUUGCACAAUGGGCGCAAGCCUGAUGCAGCGACGCCGCGUGCGGGAUGACGGCCUUCGGGUUGUAAACCGCUUUUGAUCGGGAGCAAGCCUUCGGGUGAGUGUACCUUUCGAAUAAGCACCGGCUAACUACGUGCCAGCAGCCGCGGUAAUACGUAGGGUGCAAGCGUUAUCCGGAAUUAUUGGGCGUAAAGGGCUCGUAGGCGGUUCGUCGCGUCCGGUGUGAAAGUCCAUCGCUUAACGGUGGAUCUGCGCCGGGUACGGGCGGGCUGGAGUGCGGUAGGGGAGACUGGAAUUCCCGGUGUAACGGUGGAAUGUGUAGAUA
RNAcentral lists this ribosomal RNA (519 nucleotides) under Bifidobacterium pseudocatenulatum. RNAcentral describes it as "bacterial SSU rRNA". It matches the Rfam family "Bacterial small subunit ribosomal RNA", at positions 165 to 696 of the family's 1533-position model. The record is from RNAcentral. Lineage: Bacteria; Bacillati; Actinomycetota; Actinomycetes; Bifidobacteriales; Bifidobacteriaceae.